RNAcentral lists this transfer RNA (67 nucleotides) under Dipodomys ordii (Ord's kangaroo rat). It matches the Rfam family "tRNA". Rfam says of the family: Transfer RNA (tRNA) molecules are approximately 80 nucleotides in length. Their secondary structure includes four short double-helical elements and three loops (D, anti-codon, and T loops). Lineage: Eukaryota; Metazoa; Chordata; Mammalia; Rodentia; Heteromyidae. The record is from Rfam by way of RNAcentral.
GGAAUUGUGGCUCAACAGUACAGUACCUGCCUUGAAAGCAGAAAACUGGAUUCAAACUCCAAUACCA